Long non-coding RNA from Apis cerana (Asiatic honeybee), 1662 nucleotides. RefSeq lists it as uncharacterized. The record is from RefSeq and is a predicted model, not a curated record. Lineage: Eukaryota; Metazoa; Arthropoda; Insecta; Hymenoptera; Apidae.
UUGUGGUCAUGAACGACAACCACGACUCAGUUAAUUAGCAAAUGAUUCAUUCCUCGUUGCAUGGUUGUCGACGAAACAGUAUUAUUAAGACAUAUGUAUGUGCGGUACGGAGAUUAUGCUUAAUGUUUCUGGACUUUCUUUAUUUGUUCUGGAUAUUUGUUAACAUGGUUCGUGUAACAUUAUCUGUGAUUCAUGAUAAUCAAGAGCAUCAUUUUAUUAAGAGAGCGAGAGAUUUAUUUUGCAAUACAAGAUUAAUUUUUAAAUACAUGUUUAUUAAAAAAUAUCUUAUCGAAGCAGGUUUACAGAUUAAUCUUGAAGUGUGCAUUACAUUUCAUUUUCUAUAUAUGUCGAUGCGAAAUAUGGAACGUCUGGGAAAUGAUUUGAUACAUAUAUAUAUAUAUAUAUAAGUUAGAAACUUUUCGAGAUAUUCUUCUUUCCUCGUGAACAUAUCGAAUUUGCAUCGAAAUGGAAGAUAGAAACUUUAUAAAAAAUUGGAAGAAAAUUCGAUGAUAAAAUGAACGUCCAUCUUUAUCUUGGUUAUUUCUUUAUUAUUUUUUUCAUCAUAUUUCCAUUAUAUCUAGAAUCAUAUUGAUAAGAACUAUUUUUCACUCAUUUUAAUAUCAAUAUACAACUAAAUUCUUUUUAUCGGAUCACUUUAUAUUUCUUAAAUAACAUAGCAAAAAAAAAAAAAAUAAUAAAAUAUUUAGAUAUAUAAUAAUUUGAUAAAAAAAUCAUGAUUUAUAUUAGUAAUUAAAUACAUUUGAAUUGUAUCGAUAUUUAAUUAUCGAUAUAGGUACAUGUCGAAAAUAAAUCAUUUAUUUAAAUUAAACAUUUUAAAUAACAUAACCAUAAAAUAAUUAUAAAAUAUCAUCACUAAUUAUGAUAUUUAUAUUAAUAUUAUAAAUGUAUAUUGAUACAUAAACAAUAUCUUUUGUAUUGUUAAUUAUCAAACCACUUGUUUUUACAUUGUUUCUUGAUUUCCAGCUAAGCAAACAUUUAUUAAGACAGAUUCUUAGAUAACAAAUUCAGACAGAAAUUAACCAAUCGCAAAUUUUAUGGGAAGUUGGUGAUUGGUUUAUUUCCCUUGCGACCUAUUACGUUACAGCAAAUACAGAUUAUAUAUCGAAUAUUCGAAAUUUCGAUAUUUAUGAAUAAAAUAUCGAUAUUGGAAUUGUAUACAUAAAUAUCGAUAUAAAAUAUCAAUAUUUGAAAAGUGUUGAUAUUCGGAAUAUCGAUAUUGCAUCGCCCUUCACUACACAAUGUACACCAAACGUAGAAGUUUUAUUAGAAACAAAUAUCGUAAAGAAAUAGAAUAUUUUAUAAUAUCAUUUUAUAUUAUUAUAAUAUAAUGUUAAUUUUUAUAAUUUUUUAAUUCUUUCGUUAGGAUCCAUACACUAACCAGAUUAAUUUCGAAACUGACCGAACAAACAGUGUAUCAUUCAAAUGUAGAAACUUGUUCCUAAAGGGAACACCGAAACUUUAGUCUGGUGAAACACAUCGCUCCAGAGACUUGUAUUCUUUGAAAGGGAAUAGCGUAUCGUUGUGUUGCAGCAACGCAGUUCAGUGUACCCUUAAUCUAAUAAAACGGAUCCUAUGUUUUCUCCGGCUGAUUCAUGUUGUGCAUGCGCUGAAUAAAUUCGCAGCCUUCAUGCUGGUGAUACC